Molecule: long non-coding RNA, 263 nt
Organism: Lacerta agilis (Sand lizard)
Lineage: Eukaryota; Metazoa; Chordata; Lepidosauria; Squamata; Lacertidae
Exons: 3
Source: RefSeq, a predicted model, not a curated record
GAAUGGCCUGGAAAGAGUCUCAAGGGCAACAGUCAGCUCCCAGGCCUGAGGUUCUCUAACCUGGAUUACACCAUUAUGAAGGCACUGCUCUCCAGCUCAUCAUUAGUUAAGACACUGCUGUGGAUACCUUUUUGUUCCAUCAGGCUUUCUAUGAGGGAAUAUUGUAGCCUUGUAGAUGACGACGAAGAAAAAUAGCUGGGGGUGAUGUGGAUACUGAUGUUCAAGUAACCUCUAAAGCUAGACAUCAAGUGAGGGUGGGGGCA